This 71-nucleotide transfer RNA is filed under the name Candida saraburiensis. Its description in RNAcentral is "tRNA-Asn". It matches the Rfam family "tRNA". From Rfam's summary of the family: Transfer RNA (tRNA) molecules are approximately 80 nucleotides in length. Their secondary structure includes four short double-helical elements and three loops (D, anti-codon, and T loops). The record is from RNAcentral. Lineage: Eukaryota; Fungi; Ascomycota; Pichiomycetes; Serinales; Debaryomycetaceae.
GUCAUAAUAGCUCAAGGGUAGAGCCAUGUACUGUUAAUACAUUAAUCUUAGUUCGAGUCUAAGUUAUGACG